AAAGAGUGUGUGAUACAGAAAGAAGCUUCUAACUUUUUUCUAAGUAGUUAAAGCCUACUUACUCUUUU
This 68-nucleotide transfer RNA is filed under the name Phascolosoma similis. Its description in RNAcentral is "tRNA-Ser". The record is from RNAcentral. Lineage: Eukaryota; Metazoa; Annelida; Sipuncula; Phascolosomatiformes; Phascolosomatidae.